UUUCGUUGUUUAAAUGUUUCUGGCUAAAUGCAAAGUGACACUCAAGACCCCGUGAGCGUCCUGCCACCCAUAGUCCAGCGCCCCACUCCACCCCCACCCCCAUUUGGAUGUGACCAGCGGGAUCCAGCCAGGGCGUGCCCCAGAGCUGACAGCAGCUCCAUUUCCCCACACCCUGGAGCACUCAGAGCCAGUGACAAGAGUCUGCCCUCCCGGGGUCUUGGCGCCCUGUGGAAGGGACUAAGUACCUCAGUGCCACCAGUAGGAGAUUCUGUAGCCCCUUUGCCUUCCCUGUGAGGCAGAGGACAUGGAUCUUGUCUUGACUCUGCCUUGGAAGUAGCAGGUGUGGCCCCAGGACACAGGAGGUUCCACUUGGGGUUAAAAAUUGAAUUAAUUAAAGGCCUUCCACUUUUUCCAAAAUCGAGAAUAAAAACCAUUCCUCCUUCCUCUUUCUUACUCCCUUCCUCCUCCUCUCCCUCCUUCCUUCUCCCCCUCCUUUCUUUCAUUCUUCCCUCCUUUUUCCCCCUCCCCUUCUUAUAUUCACUUCUCUCUUCUUCCUUGGUUCUUCCCUCCCUCCUCCCUCUUUCCUCUCUACCUCCUCCUUCUCCUGUCUCCCUUUCUUCCUCCCUCUUUCCUUGUCUGAGCUAAAGGAGAAAUAUUCUAAACCAAAAAUCCUAGAUGCUCUACCCAAAGCCACUUCUGUGUGGGGAAUGCCACCCUCAUGGUCCACAGAAGGGACCACAUCAGUAGACUGCACCAUCUCCUCCCUGGCACCAAACGAGUGAAGAGGACAGAGGCCACAUGUCACCAAUUGAACUUCUUGGAAGGUGCCACCCAACAGAAGACAGGGGACCAGGCUGGCUCUGUACCGCAGCUGUGCUCCCUUAAGCCAUAAGGACUUGAUUGCUUUAAUCAAUGGGGAAUCUUUGGGAUGGUCUGUUCUGAGGUGACACUCUAGCCCACCUUGCACUUCCUCCCAAUGACUCAGCAGUUUGCAGCGGUGCCUGGGUCUCCUUUAGGAUCAGUAACUUGUUUUCUAUGGAAAGGUCUGUUCAGGAUGCCCUGGCCCUAUGGCUGUUGGUCGACAGCAGUCAGCAGCUGUCUCAAGCCUGAGACUUAGAGCAAUGCUUCUCAACAUGUGAAUGGAGACCCCUUGGGAGUCAAACGACCCUUUCACAGGGGUUGCAUAUCAGAUAUCUUGCAUAUCAGACAUUUACACUGCAAUUCAUAACAGUAGCAAAAUUACAAUAGUUACGAAGUAGCAACGAAAGUAAUUUUAAUGGUGGGGGGGGGGGCAUCACCACAACAUGAGGAACUCUAUUAAAGGGUCACAGCAUUAGGAAGGAUAAAAACCACUGACUUAGAGGGACCCUGUCCCAUUCAAAUCCCUGCACCAAAGGCAGAGGGAGGAUUUCCAGUUAGAUUUCAGCCUCUGGAGUCACAGGGCAUUGGCAAAAGUCCUUCCUACCUGUUGGGAUGGGACGGACACAUUACGCAGCUGCGAAACGGACACUGGAUCCAAGGCUGGCUUCUAAGAAAAGAUCCAAACAGGCAGGAUGCGGGCACCCUCCUGACUUCUCCUGUCAUGGUGUGUUUGCAUAGAGGUUCUUAGCAUGGGUUUUCAUUACCCCUGGAUUCCUGGCUCACAGCAUGGCUGCUUUCCUGCUGAGCCCCAGCCCUAGACUAGCAGCAAGGGACCAGUCUGAGAGGCCAGAACAGUGUGGGGUUCCCAACAGGGAGCUCCCAACCCCACCUGCUGGCUUAGGGGAGUCCCUAGGCUUUCCCUAUAAAACUUCCAAAAUGGCACAGAAAACCAGAUCCCAUUAUAGAUUU
This 1830-nucleotide long non-coding RNA is filed under the name Rattus norvegicus (Norway rat). RNAcentral's name for it is "long non-coding RNA NONRATT007779". Lineage: Eukaryota; Metazoa; Chordata; Mammalia; Rodentia; Muridae. The record is from RNAcentral.